GAUGAACGCUGGCGGCGUGCCUAAUACAUGCAAGUCGAGCGAACGGACGAGAAGCUUGCUUCUCUGAUGUUAGCGGCGGACGGGUGAGUAACACGUGGAUAACCUACCUAUAAGACUGGGAUAACUUCGGGAAACCGUAUCUAAUACCGGAUAAUAUUUUGAACCGCAGGGUUCAAAAGUGAAAGACGUUCUUGCUGUCACUUAUAGAUGGAUCCGCGCUGCAUUAGCUAGUUGGUAAGGUAACGGCUUACCAAGGCAACGAUGCGUAGCCGACCUGAGAGGGUGAUCGGCCACACUGGAACUGAGACACGGUCCAGACUCCUACGGGAGGCAGCAGUAGGGAAUCUUCCGCAAUGGGCGAAAGCCUGACGGAGCAACGCCGCGUGAGUGAUGAAGGUCUUCGGAUCGUAAAACUCUGUUAUUAGGGAAGAACAGAUGUGUAAGUAACUGUGCACAUCUUGACGGUACCUAAUCAGAAAGCCACGGCUAACUACGUG
RNAcentral lists this ribosomal RNA (497 nucleotides) under uncultured bacterium. RNAcentral describes it as "partial 16S ribosomal RNA". It matches the Rfam family "Bacterial small subunit ribosomal RNA", at positions 28 to 507 of the family's 1533-position model. The record is from RNAcentral.